Molecule: non-coding RNA, 29 nt
Filed under: Rattus norvegicus (Norway rat)
Lineage: Eukaryota; Metazoa; Chordata; Mammalia; Rodentia; Muridae
Source: RNAcentral
UCCAAAGAAUUGGUAGAGGAUCUGGGGUU